GGAAACCGCAUGUGAAAAAGAGCAGCAGCAAGGAAGAGAGAAAAAAAAAAAAAGGAGGGAAAAAAAAAAGGGGGGGGGUUUGGAUUGGACCCCCCCGCCCCGGUGCGGGAGGAAGGACCCGCGGCCGGAGGGCGAGGAGCUGCGGCGGCCGGCGAGGGAAGGGACCGGGGCUGCGUGACCCCCGCGGCGCGGGGGGAGAGGCGAGGAAGAGACGUUUCCCGAUCCUCCCCGCCGAGGAUUUGGGGAGGUUUCCGCGCCUGGAGCCCGUGCCUUUGGAUCUAAAGAGGAUUAUUAUUUUUUUGGGGGUGGCACUGAAGCUGGAUUUGUUCCUGUGCGUGCGGCGCGGGGGGGGGCAUUUGUGCUGCCUCUAGAGGAGCCGGCGGCCCGGCCGGGGCGCGGAGAUCCCCGCGGAUCGCUCCGCACCCCCCGGGAAAGGUGCGCCGAGGGGAUCGGCGGGGGGCGGGGGAGGAGAGGCAGCUGCAGCUGCCGGGGAGGAGGCCCGGCGGAGCGGCAGCAAAGUCAUCGCUAUCGGCCCCCCCUCGGCUGGCUCCGGGCUCGGCGCUCUCCAUGUCUCUGGCUCUGGGCAGCGGCCGCCACAGCAGCGAGUAGGGGGGGAGGAGGAGGAGGAGGAGGAGGAAGAAGAAGGGAGCCCGGGAGUGCCUCCCUCCCUCCCUCCCUCCCCCCGGCAGCCCCGGCCGCCUCCCGUCCCCUCGCCCCGCGUCCCUGCCUUCCCCUCCCCAAGAUGGGCUGUUUAGGGAACAGCAAGACGGAGGAUCAGCGCAACGAGGAGAAGGCGCAGCGGGAGGCCAACAAGAAGAUCGAGAAGCAGCUGCAGAAGGACAAGCAGGUCUAUAGGGCCACGCACCGGCUCCUCCUGCUGGGUGCUGGUGAAUCCGGUAAAAGCACAAUAGUCAAACAGAUGAGGAUCUUGCACGUGAAUGGAUUUAAUGCUGAGUAA
Molecule: RNA transcript, 958 nt
Organism: Lepidothrix coronata (blue-crowned manakin)
Lineage: Eukaryota; Metazoa; Chordata; Aves; Passeriformes; Pipridae
Gene name: guanine nucleotide-binding protein G(s) subunit alpha pseudogene
Exons: 2
Source: RefSeq, a predicted model, not a curated record